This 263-nucleotide long non-coding RNA is filed under the name Mus spicilegus (steppe mouse). Its description in RNAcentral is "lncRNA (ENSMSIG00000025658.1)". The record is from RNAcentral. Lineage: Eukaryota; Metazoa; Chordata; Mammalia; Rodentia; Muridae.
AGAGAGAAAGGAAGCACUUGACAGAGUUCAGCACACACUCCUGGGAAAGAAACUAAGAUGGCAAACUAUACUUUACCACAGAAAAUACUUCUUCGAUCCCUUGUGAGCUGAGUGAAAGAUGUACUUAUUGGUGAUAACAGAAGCAGAAGAAGACACCGUGUUAAAGUGAGAAUUUCCAAUAUUUUGUGAUUGUUUUUUGUUUUUGUUUGUUUGUGUUUGGGAGACUAAGUUUAUAAUAAUGCUUUUCAGGAGCAGACAGGUGA